Molecule: long non-coding RNA, 224 nt
Filed under: Lathyrus oleraceus (garden pea)
Lineage: Eukaryota; Viridiplantae; Streptophyta; Magnoliopsida; Fabales; Fabaceae
Description: Pisum sativum (pea) long non-coding RNA (PSAT_LNC034985)
Source: RNAcentral
ACAUCACAUACUCAACAAGUGCACCAAGUUGAAGACAAACCAUUUUUGAUAGUGAAAUAUGGAAAAUGGCGAUGAAAUUCAUAACAAUUUAGUAGAAACAACCAACGAUUUAAGCCAAAUCGGAAUAAUAUAAUAGAUUUGUUUGAAGAAAAAACUCGAGAUCGUUACCGAAAGUGCAGGACUCCAAUGCUACAAGUUGAUGUCGCACUUGUCAAUGUUGUUGU